GACGAACGCUGGCGGCGUGCCUAAUACAUGCAAGUAGAACGCUGAAGGAGGAGCUUGCUUCUCCGGAUGAGUUGCGAACGGGUGAGUAACGCGUAGGUAACCUGCCUGGUAGCGGGGGAUAACUAUUGGAAACGAUAGCUAAUACCGCAUAACAGUAGAUAUCGCAUGAUAUCUGCUUGAAAGGUGCAAUUGCAUCACUACCAGAUGGACCUGCGUUGUAUUAGCUAGUUGGUGAGGUAACGGCUCACCAAGGCGACGAUACAUAGCCGACCUGAGAGGGUGAUCGGCCACACUGGGACUGGGACAAGGCCCAGACUCCUACGGGAGGCAGCAGUAGGGAAUCUUCGGCAAUGGACGGAAGUCUGACCGAGCAACGCCGCGUGAGUGAAGAAGGUUUUCGGAUCGUAAAGCUCUGUUGUAAGAGAAGAACGAGUGUGAGAGUGGAAAGUUCACACUGUGACGGUAUCUUACCAGAAAGGGACGGCUAACUACGU
This 494-nucleotide ribosomal RNA is filed under the name uncultured bacterium. RNAcentral describes it as "partial 16S ribosomal RNA". It matches the Rfam family "Bacterial small subunit ribosomal RNA", at positions 28 to 506 of the family's 1533-position model. The record is from RNAcentral.